UACAGAGGUCUCAAGCGUUGUUCGGAUUCAUUGGGCGUAAAGGGUGCGUAGGUGGCGCCGUAAGUCGGGUGUGAAAUUUCGGAGCUUAACUCCGAAACUGCAUUCGAUACUGCGGUGCUUGAGGACUGGAGAGGAGACUGGAAUUCAUGGUGUAGCAGUGAAAUGCGUAGAGAUCAUGAGGAAGACCAGUGGCGAGGGCGGGUCUCUGGACAGUUCCUGACACUGAGGCACGAAGGCCAGGGGAGCAAACGGG
This 253-nucleotide ribosomal RNA is filed under the name uncultured bacterium. Its description in RNAcentral is "partial 16S ribosomal RNA". It matches the Rfam family "Bacterial small subunit ribosomal RNA", at positions 524 to 776 of the family's 1533-position model. The record is from RNAcentral.